RNAcentral lists this ribosomal RNA (253 nucleotides) under uncultured bacterium. Its description in RNAcentral is "partial 16S ribosomal RNA". It matches the Rfam family "Bacterial small subunit ribosomal RNA", at positions 524 to 776 of the family's 1533-position model. The record is from RNAcentral.
UACGAACCGUCCAAACGUUAUUCGGAAUCACUGGGCUUAAAGGGUGCGUAGGCGGCCCGGUAAGUUGGGUGUGAAAUCCCUCGGCUCAACCGAGGAAUGGCGCUCAAGACUGCCGGGCUCGAGGAAGAUAGAGGUGAGCGGAACUUAGGGUGGAGCGGUGAAAUGCGUUGAUAUCCUAAGGAACACCGGUGGCGAAAGCGGCUCACUGGGUCUUUUCUGACGCUGAGGCACGAAAGCUAGGGGAGCGAACGGG